This 253-nucleotide ribosomal RNA is filed under the name uncultured bacterium. RNAcentral describes it as "partial 16S ribosomal RNA". It matches the Rfam family "Bacterial small subunit ribosomal RNA", at positions 524 to 776 of the family's 1533-position model. The record is from RNAcentral.
UACGUAGGGGGCAAACGUUGUCCGGAAUCAUUGGGCGUAAAGCGCGUGUAGGCGGCCCGGUACGUCCGCUGUGAAAGUCGGGGGCUCAACCCUCGAAUGCCGGUGGAUACUGUCGGGCUAGAGUGCGGAAGAGGCGAGUGGAAUUCCUGGUGUAGCGGUGAAAUGCGUAGAUAUCUGGAGGAACACCGGUGGCGAAGGCGGCGUCCUGGACCAACACUGACAUUGAGGAGCGAAAGCCAGGGGAGCAAACGGG